This 331-nucleotide ribosomal RNA is filed under the name uncultured bacterium. RNAcentral describes it as "bacterial SSU rRNA". It matches the Rfam family "Bacterial small subunit ribosomal RNA", at positions 568 to 899 of the family's 1533-position model. The record is from RNAcentral.
UGUGUAGGCGGUUCUUUAAGUUUGGUGUGAAAUCUCCCGGCUUAACCGGGAGGGUGCGCCGAAUACUGAGGAACUAGAGUGCGGGAGAGGAAAGUGGAAUUCCUGGUGUAGCGGUGAAAUGCGUAGAUAUCAGGAGGAACACCGGUGGUGUAGACGGCUUUCUGGACCGUAACUGACGCUGAAACACGAAAGCGUGGGUAGCAAACAGGAUUAGAUACCCUGGUAGUCCACGCCCUAAACGAUGCAUAUUUGGUGUGGGUCAUUCAGUUGAUCCGUGCCGGAGCUAACGCGUUAAAUAUGCCGCCUGGGGAGUACAGUCGCAAGGCUAGAA